This 2051-nucleotide long non-coding RNA is filed under the name Solanum tuberosum (potato). Its description in RNAcentral is "long non-coding RNA (STUB_LNC010615)". Lineage: Eukaryota; Viridiplantae; Streptophyta; Magnoliopsida; Solanales; Solanaceae. The record is from RNAcentral.
UUAUGUUGGUCCUUACCAUUCUGUUAUACAGAGAAACCGCUGUCGAGUCUGAUAAAAAAAUUUGGUCUUCUCAUGCUCCACAGCGUUUCUCUGUAUAACCAAAUGUUUUAGGGUCAUUAUUCUUUUCUGGAUCCUCAACCCUUUGCAACUUUUUUGACGUCCUGGUAAUGGUAUCAUUAAGAAAAAACAUUCUUUUUUCUCAAUUGCUGUAUGUUUACUUGCUUUCGAUUGAAAUCUUGAACACUAGUGUGAUGCUAUUUUCAUAUGCAUAUGAUAUUUAUUCUGUUAUUAGUCCAUUUUUGUAUAUUAAUCCUAGGGGCAGCAGCAUUAGGUAUCUUUGCUGACUAUUCAGCAAUAGCCUGUUGAAAUACACCAUAGCUUUACCCUGUGGGAAGCGGCUACCGAUUUCCCUUUGUCAUAACAAAAAAAUACACCAAUAGAAGUAAUGUAGUAUGAUUUAGCCCAAAACAGGAUUUUCUGAAUAACUGUUAGGCAGGGAUGAUCACUGGGUUCUACAGUCCUGUGGACUUAUUAAAUUUUAACUUUUAGUAUACCAUAAGUUGGAUGACUCAACUGUAUGAUAAUUGAUCCUUUGACAGUUUAAGCCUUUAUGUUGCACUGGCUAUAGAACUUCUGCAAAGAAUGAUUGGGAAAUUGCAAGGUAUUAAUUCCAACCUUACCAUAGAAUGCUCCCUUUGGGGUAUCAUGAGUAGUUAAGGUAGGUCUUCAACAUGUUGGAAAUCAAGAACAUUCUUUGCAUAAAUGAAAGAAUCUAAGCAUUGAAACCGUGGAUAAAUAGCAAGUCUAGAGUCUUCAGUGCUGCACUGAGCAUUAUUGCUGCAAAUGUAGCCACUUAAAGAAUAUUUAAGUCUGUUGCCACUCAAUUACUCAACUAUUGUAACAAGCAUGGAGGUUCUAUACUUAAAUUUGAUGACUCACCUUAUGGAAGGAGGAACAGUAGAAAAAAAGGUUUGAUGAAAUAGUAAGGGAUAACUCAAGCAGCACGUGUGGAUUGCUGUACACUUAGAUGAACAUUGCAAUGCACUGUAAUCGUUUGUAUCCUAAGAUUCAGGAAUGAUAAUGGUGUAUAUGACCAAAACUCUCUACCUCAAUAGAACUUGAAAAAAGAAAGUGUGGUGGUUCUUAUUUCCGGGGAAGGAUUCGUCAAGGUUAUGGGUGGAGAUGUAUGCAAUUGCAGGAUUGGGGAGGGGUAGAUAUGGAAUGUUAAUUGGCAUAUUUGGGAAGAAUGGAUUCAUAUUCUGAGUUUAUUGACUUUAAGAAGGUACAAAUGAUUUCUUAACAUGAGAGGAUGCACUAUAGUCCAAGUAUUUUGCACUUUGGGCGAAGGAAACAAAACGAAAGUCUGGUCAAAAUACGAGAGUCCCAAGAGGAUGAUGCAAAACUAGUGGCAGAAUUCAAUGUUUGUGAGUUUAGCUGCUACGGAAUACUGUGUUUAAAUCUCUAAAGUUAGAACUCUUAUCAUUUGUACAGCAACAGUUCCAAUAAUUUAACAGUUUUCCAAAUUGUACUGUACUUAUCUUAUGUUGAAAGAAGUUCAGUAACGCAUUGAGAUUCACAAUUCGAGUUUCUUAUUGAUAUACAACUAACAACUUUUCACUUUUUCUUCUGGUCUUAGACAAGAAGUGACUCCUUUAUGUGGAUCCUUAUUUGUUUCAGAAAGAAGAAUCUAGCAGCAGAUGGGUCAUAUUUGUGGACGAGGCUUCCUAAGUAUAUUAAGACUGAUGGACAUGCUCGUUAGACCUGUCUCUGGAAAGAACAGAAGAAAGAGAAACAUUAUCUUCAACAAACAUGCUUGUAUGCAGAAAGUGUCCCUAGCUGGGUAGUCUUUGGACAUAUUUUGGAAUAUAGUAAGUAAUAGUUAUAUAGCAUUUACUCGGGAAGAUGUCGAAAAAGACAUGCUCUGCAGGCCCAGCCCUUAAGGGUCCUGGGGAGGCGGGGGUCAGGACCUGAUAAACAUUAAAGAACUCUUUCUACAGAUUGAAUACAAAGGUAAGAGUUCAGCACCUUAUCAUAGCUCUAUUUUGUUCCAG